RNAcentral lists this ribosomal RNA (251 nucleotides) under uncultured Veillonella sp. Its description in RNAcentral is "partial 16S ribosomal RNA". It matches the Rfam family "Bacterial small subunit ribosomal RNA", at positions 104 to 339 of the family's 1533-position model. The record is from RNAcentral. Lineage: Bacteria; Bacillati; Bacillota; Negativicutes; Veillonellales; Veillonellaceae.
GGGUGAGUAACGCGUAACCAACCUGCCCUUCAGAGGGGGAUAACAACGGGAAACCGUUGCUAAUACCGCGUACGAAUGAACUUCGGCAUCGAAGCUCAUUGAAAGGUGGCCUCUAUUUAUAAGCUAUCGCUGAAGGAGGGGGUUGCGUCUGAUUAGCUAGUUGGAGGGGUAACGGCCCACCAAGGCAAUGAUCAGUAGCCGGUCUGAGAGGAUGAACGGCCACAUUGGGACUGAGACACGGCCCAAACUCC